This 89-nucleotide ribosomal RNA is filed under the name Streptosporangium saharense. RNAcentral describes it as "Bacterial large subunit ribosomal RNA". It matches the Rfam family "Bacterial large subunit ribosomal RNA", at positions 2836 to 2925 of the family's 2925-position model. The record is from Rfam by way of RNAcentral. Lineage: Bacteria; Bacillati; Actinomycetota; Actinomycetes; Streptosporangiales; Streptosporangiaceae.
CCCAAUGGAUGAUUGGGUUGAUAGGCCGGGUGUGGAAGCGCGGUAACGUGUGGAGCUGACCGGUACUAAUAGGCCGAGGACUUGACCAC